This 484-nucleotide ribosomal RNA is filed under the name uncultured bacterium. RNAcentral's name for it is "partial 16S ribosomal RNA". It matches the Rfam family "Bacterial small subunit ribosomal RNA", at positions 29 to 507 of the family's 1533-position model. The record is from RNAcentral.
AUUGAACGCUGGCGGCAUGCUUUACACAUGCAAGUCGAACGGCAGCGCGGGCUUCGGCCUGGCGGCGAGUGGCGAACGGGUGAGUAAUACAUCGGAACGUGCCCAGUAGUGGGGGAUAGCUCGGCGAAAGCCGGAUUAAUACCGCAUACGACCUGAGGGUGAAAGCGGGGGAUCUUCGGACCUCGCGCUAUUGGAGCGGCCGAUGGCAGAUUAGCUAGUUGGUGGGGUAAAGGCCUACCAAGGCGACGAUCUGUAGCUGGUCUGAGAGGACGACCAGCCACACUGGGACUGAGACACGGCCCAGACUCCUACGGGAGGCAGCAGUGGGGAAUUUUGGACAAUGGGCGAAAGCCUGAUCCAGCAAUGCCGCGUGUGUGAUGAAGGCCUUUGGGUUGUAAAGCACUUUUGGCGGGAACGAAAAGGACUGUGCCAAUACCACGGUUCGAUGACGGUACCCGCAGAAUAAGCACCGGCUAACUACGUG